RNAcentral lists this ribosomal RNA (492 nucleotides) under uncultured bacterium. RNAcentral describes it as "partial 16S ribosomal RNA". It matches the Rfam family "Bacterial small subunit ribosomal RNA", at positions 29 to 507 of the family's 1533-position model. The record is from RNAcentral.
AGUGAACGCUGGCGGUAAGCCUAACACAUGCAAGUCGAACGGCAGCACAGUAAGAGCUUGCUCUUACGGGUGGCGAGUGGCGGACGGGUGAGGAAUACAUCGGAAUCUACUUUUUCGUGGGGGAUAACGUAGGGAAACUUACGCUAAUACCGCAUACGACCUACGGGUGAAAGCAGGGGAUCUUCGGACCUUGCGCGAUUGAAUGAGCCGAUGUCGGAUUAGCUAGUUGGCGGGGUAAAGGCCCACCAAGGCGACGAUCCGUAGCUGGUCUGAGAGGAUGAUCAGCCACACUGGAACUGAGACACGGUCCAGACUCCUACGGGAGGCAGCAGUGGGGAAUAUUGGACAAUGGGCGCAAGCCUGAUCCAGCCAUACCGCGUGGGUGAAGAGGGCCUUCGGGUUGUAAAGCCCUUUUGUUGGGAAAGAAAAGCAGCAGGUUAAUACCCCGCUGUUCUGACGGUACCCAAAGAAUAAGCACCGGCUAACUUCGUG